Molecule: long non-coding RNA, 1165 nt
Organism: Numida meleagris (helmeted guineafowl)
Lineage: Eukaryota; Metazoa; Chordata; Aves; Galliformes; Numididae
Exons: 3
Source: RefSeq, a predicted model, not a curated record
UUGGAGAAUAGAAGCAGCUCUGGACUAUCUGAAACUGCAAUAAGCAGACUGGAGGGGUGGAGAAAGGCAAACCCAGAGAAUGAAUUCAGCAGAGCAAAUUGAGAUGAUACUGGAAAUAACCCUUGAGAAUUUGAAGAUAAGUUUGGACUUGAAUCUGUGUUGUUGUCCUCCUCCUCUGCCCUAGGAACUACUUCUUGAUAUGUCACUCUCAUAUAUGAGUCACCUGCACCAUAUAUGAAGUAACCCUUGUGAACAUUUGCCUCCCCAGAUAUUAUCUUUCUUCAGAUGAGGAUUGAAUGAAGGGAAAACUGCAUGGAAACUCAGCAAACUGAUUAGCAAAGCUGCCUGGAGCAUGUAUCUCAUCUUAAUGUACAGUUUCCUGGGACCUCUGAACUACCUGGUUGUGGCUAGUUGCCACUGCUAGACAAAGAUACGUUCUUCCACUGUCCUAGCUGAGGUGGCUUUGCUGCCUGGGUGAAGCAGGGUAAGUCAGGCUGGAAGCCAGACUGGCAGAAAGAUAAGCCAGGAAGAAAAGGUUUCCAGCAGGGUAUUACCCAGGCUAGGCAAGAGACAGCUCAGACACAGGGAACUUGACUAGCAGUGACUUAGGUCAGCCUAAACUCACAUACCUGGUGUUCUCCUGGGUGCCACUUUUUCCUCCUGUGUCUGCUCCAAGCUAGGCACUUGCAUUUCCUCCCUGGUGCUGCCUCUGAUGCUUGACUGACACCUUAUGAGUUGACUGAAAUCCUCCUAACUGUGUGAGGGAUUAUGCUUAUGUUGACCUGACUGCUAAUGCCAGACUGGUGAUUAAUAACACCAUAAACUGUCUCAGAAACAGCUGAAUACAUCUCAUACAACAUUGCAACUCUUGCAGGCCAAUGUGAUGCAAAAUGGUAUAAAAGCUUUUGGAAGAGGACAGCUCAAAAGGACACCAUCAAAGGUAGAAGUAAGUAAUGUAGUACAGUGCAUGUGGUAAAUGCUUGAAGAAAUGCUUGGAUUUAUUUCCGUUUUGAAAACGUAAACAUACUUGGCUUAAUGAUUUAAUUGUACAUUGUGCUGUGAAAUCUGGUAGAAAAUAACACUGAACUUCCUACAAUAAGGAGAAACCAGCUACUUAUAGGUAUGUGUUAAUGACUUAUUAGGAAACAAGGAUAAAACUUUAUAC